AUUGAACGCUGGCGGCAUGCCUUACACAUGCAAGUCGAACGGCAGCACGGGAGCAAUCCUGGUGGCGAGUGGCGAACGGGUGAGUAAUGUAUCGGAACGUACCUUUCAGUGGGGGAUAACGUAGCGAAAGUUACGCUAAUACCGCAUAUUCUGUGAGCAGGAAAGCAGGGGAUCGCAAGACCUUGCGCUGAUUGAGCGGCCGAUAUCAGAUUAGCUAGCUGGUGAGGUAAAGGCUCACCAAGGCGACGAUCUGUAGCGGGUCUGAGAGGAUGAUCCGCCACACUGGAACUGAGACGCGGUCCAGACUCCUACGGGAGGCAGCAGUGGGGAAUUUUGGACAAUGGGCGCAAGCCUGAUCCAGCCAUGCCGCGUGAGUGAAGAAGGCCU
RNAcentral lists this ribosomal RNA (387 nucleotides) under uncultured bacterium. RNAcentral describes it as "bacterial SSU rRNA". It matches the Rfam family "Bacterial small subunit ribosomal RNA", at positions 30 to 417 of the family's 1533-position model. The record is from RNAcentral.